Molecule: ribosomal RNA, 265 nt
Filed under: uncultured bacterium
Lineage: Bacteria
Description: partial 16S ribosomal RNA
Rfam family: Bacterial small subunit ribosomal RNA
Source: RNAcentral
GACGAACGCUGGCGGCGUGCUUAACACAUGCAAGUCGAGCGGUAAGGCCCUUUCGGGGGUACGACGAGCGGCGAACGGGUGAGUAACACGUGGGUGACCUGCCCUCAGCUCUGGGAUAAGCCUGGGAAACCGGGUCUAAUACUGGAUAUGACUCCAUGACGCAUGUUGUGGGGUGGAAAGCCUUGUGCGGCUGAGGAUGGGCCCGCGGCCUAUCAGCUUGUUGGUGGGGUGAUGGCCUACCAAGGCGACGACGGGUAGCCGGCCU